CCUACGGGGGGCUGCAGUGGGGAAUAUUGGACAAUGGGGGCAACCCUGAUCCAGCCAUGCCGCGUGUGUGAAGAAGGCCCUCGGGUUGUAAAGCACUUUCAGUGAGGAAGAACGCCUGGUGGUUAAUACCCAUCAGGAAAGACAUCACUCACAGAAGAAGCACCGGCUAACUCCGUGCCAGCAGCCGCGGUAAUACGGAGGGUGCGAGCGUUAAUCGGAAUUACUGGGCGUAAAGCGCGCGUAGGUGGCUUGAUAAGCCGGUUGUGAAAGCCCCGGGCUCAACCUGGGAACGGCAUCCGGAACUGUCAAGCUAGAGUGCAGGCGAGGAAGGUAGAAUUCCCGGUGUAGCGGUGAAAUGCGUAGAGAUCGGGAGGAAUACCAGUGGCGAAGGCGGCCUUCUGGACUGACACUGACACUGAGGUGCGAAAGCGUGGGUAGCAAACAGGAUUAGAUACCCUAGUAGUC
RNAcentral lists this ribosomal RNA (465 nucleotides) under Vreelandella stevensii. Its description in RNAcentral is "partial 16S ribosomal RNA". It matches the Rfam family "Bacterial small subunit ribosomal RNA", at positions 338 to 795 of the family's 1533-position model. The record is from RNAcentral. Lineage: Bacteria; Pseudomonadati; Pseudomonadota; Gammaproteobacteria; Oceanospirillales; Halomonadaceae.